Molecule: ribosomal RNA, 422 nt
Filed under: uncultured bacterium
Lineage: Bacteria
Description: bacterial SSU rRNA
Rfam family: Bacterial small subunit ribosomal RNA
Source: RNAcentral
UGAGGAAUAUUGGGCAAUGCCCGCAAGGGUGACCCAGCAACGCCGCGUGGAGGAUGAAUGUCGUAAGAUUGUAAACUCCUGUUAGAGGGGAAGAAUAGUACCGGUUGGACCGGUAUAUGACUGUACCCUCAGAGAAAGCCCCGGCUAACUACAUGCCAGCAGCCGCGGUAAUACGUAGGGGGCAAGCGUUGUCCGGAUUUACUGGGUGUAAAGGGCGCGCAGGCGGGAUAAAAAGUCAGUGGUGAAAUCCUACAGCUUAACUGUAGAACUGCCUUUGAUACUUUUAUUCUUGAGUUCGGGAGAGAGAGACGGAAUUCCAGGUGUAGUGGUGAAUUACGUAGAUAUCUGGAAGAACACCAGUUGCGAAGGCGGUCUCUUGGUCCGACACUGACGCUGAGGCGCGAAAGCGUGGGGAGCAAACA